GAACCACCUGGUUCAUGCCUGACCAGACUAUAUGCUCUCCUUCCUUCCAUCAAAGCCUUCUUUCUGCAGGCUCUCUCAGGUCCCCUGAGGAGUGAGAUGCCAACGUGCGAGACAAGAGCUAUGCGGGGCCCCUGCCCAUCUUCAACCGAAGCCAGCACGCACAUGUCAUUGAAGACCUGCACUGCAACUUGUGCGACGUGGAUGUGAGCGCUCGCUCCAAGCACUGCAGCGCCUGCAACAAGUGCGUGUGCGGUUUCGACCACCACUGCAAGUGGCUCAACAACUGUGUGGGCGAGCGGAACUACCGGCUCUUUCUACACAGUGUUGCAUCUGCCUUACUGGGCGUCCUACUCCUGGUGCUGGUGGCCACAUAUGUCUUCGUGGAGUUCUUUGUCAACCCCAUGCGUCUGCGCACCAACCGACACUUUGAAGUGUGGCACAAGCUCACCACCUAUGAGUACAUCGUGCAGCACCGCCCACCGCAGGAGGCCAAGGGGGUUCACAGGGAGCUCGAGUCAUGUCCUCCCAAGAUGCGGCCCAUUCAGGAGAUGGAGUUCUACAUGCGGACCUUCAGACAUAUGCGCCCAGAGCCCCCCGGCCAGGCCAG
Molecule: small RNA, 607 nt
Filed under: Pongo abelii (Sumatran orangutan)
Lineage: Eukaryota; Metazoa; Chordata; Mammalia; Primates; Hominidae
Description: processed transcript
Source: RNAcentral